RNAcentral lists this ribosomal RNA (482 nucleotides) under uncultured bacterium. RNAcentral's name for it is "partial 16S ribosomal RNA". It matches the Rfam family "Bacterial small subunit ribosomal RNA", at positions 28 to 507 of the family's 1533-position model. The record is from RNAcentral.
GACGAACGCUGGCGGCGUGCUUAACACAUGCAAGUCGAACGCUGAAGCUCAGCUUGCUGGGUGGAUGAGUGGCGAACGGGUGAGUAACACGUGAGUAACCUGCCCUCUUCUUUGGGAUAACGCCCGGAAACGGGUGCUAAUACUGGAUAUUCACUGAUUCUCGCAUGGGGGUUGGUGGAAAGGUUUUUUCUGGUGGGGGAUGGGCUCGCGGCCUAUCAGCUUGUUGGUGGGGUGAUGGCCUACCAAGGCUUUGACGGGUAGCCGGCCUGAGAGGGUGACCGGUCACAUUGGGACUGAGAUACGGCCCAGACUCCUACGGGAGGCAGCAGUGGGGAAUAUUGCACAAUGGGCGAAAGCCUGAUGCAGCGACGCCGCGUGAGGGAUGGAGGCCUUCGGGUUGUAAACCUCUUUCGCUCAUGGUCAAGCCGCAGCUUCGGGUUGUGGUGAGGGUAGUGGGUAAAGAAGCGCCGGCUAACUACGUG